RNAcentral lists this long non-coding RNA (6061 nucleotides) under Sus scrofa (pig). RNAcentral's name for it is "lncRNA (ENSSSCG00000061265.1)". Lineage: Eukaryota; Metazoa; Chordata; Mammalia; Artiodactyla; Suidae. The record is from RNAcentral.
GAGCCAAGGGCAACUUCUGGUUGGCAAUGGUGUUGUCACAAAUAAAGUGGUUGUGAAUCCGUUUUAUUUUAGGCCUUGCAGCUGAUAGAUUCAUUUCUAUUUUGUGGGCCAUACUCUGCAUGAUUCCAAGAAAAUCACUCCAUCAGAGACUCCACUGACAUCACCAACCACCAGAUAGGAGACUCCUGACGGGCAAACCUCAGGCUGAGUCACUAUCUGAAGACUUGGCUCCAGGUGGGGAAAAAAAAAAAAAAAAAAAGGUUGUUUAUGGUUGGGACCCCUAGUUGCCAUGGACACCAAGUUUCUCCCUCUCCAUUCACCUUCAGGAGAUGUGAGCUUCACAGAGUUUCCCAUCUGCCCAUGCCCAGGAGUGAAUUUAAUAGGUCCAGUCUUGGGUUAGGCAAAUCCAGCAUCCCUGAAGAGACACUUUUCCGGAGAGCUGGCCAAGCCGAAUUUAGGAGGUGUGGCUUUCAUUGCCGUAUCAUUUGGGCUUAGAGGUUUAUUGUUUUUUGGUUUAUUUCCUUAAUUAUUUAAUUAUUUCUUAUGGGUUUUCUCCAUCGUAGGUACAGUGUUCCUAUGCCCUCCUAAGCUCUUUAUUUGGAAAAGAAAAGGACCCUUAAAAAGAGAGCGCGAGACAGAGGAGAGGGGUUUAUAGUUAUUUCAGUUGGGAGGCCAGAACCACUGAAUAGAGAAAGGUGUUGAGGCGGUCAGCCGGGAAUGAGAUGAACCACAGGUCGACCAGCAGACGGUUUUUGAAUUGACAAAGCAAAGGGCUUUCUUGUUGCUCCAGGGCUAAAUGCUUUAGAAUCCUGGCAUCUCCACACUGAAAGAGACCUCAGACAUCACCUAGUAUAAGCACCCAGCCUGUAACAAGCUGCUGUCCUCUGUUCUUGGCAGUCAUCACCUGCUCUCUGCUUCCCUGGACCGUCAUUUCUAUAUUCCUAUAAACUCGGUUGAGAAAAAUCUUCUGAAGUUCUUAGAGUGAGCUGAAAUCAGCCUUCCUGUAACUUGCGCCUUGCCAGUCAGAGGUUUGUUCUAGGGAGGCCCAUGCAGAGAAAAAAGUACGAGGUCUAGUCCAAGUUAGCUUAGACCACACCGUCUGCAACACCCCUUCAAGUGUUCACAGCAGCUCUCACGUCCCCUUCUCUUCUGCGGAAGACCCCUCGUUCUUGUAACCACUCUUCAUUUUCAGUCAUUUUCAGACACUUUGCCCUCUUGGCCAUUGCUCUCUGGCUGCUUUCCGAGCUGUCACCUUCCUUGUAAGACACUGCGGCUGGGGCCUGGGUAGGAUGCUCCCAGGUUCUGGAGAGGUCCUGUCAUCAAGGACAAUUUUUUUUUUUUUUUUGGCUUUUGUCUUUUUAGGGCCACACCUGCAGCAUAUGAAGGUUCCCAGGGUAGGGGUCAAAUUGAAGCUGCAGCUGCUGGCCUACAACACAGCGACAGCAAUGCUGGAUCUGAACCACAUCUGUGACCUACACCACAGCUCACGGCAACACCGGAUCCUUAACCCACUGAGCGAGGCCGGGGAUCGAACCCACAACCUCAUGGUUCCUAGUUGGAUUCAUUUCCGCUGCGCCACGACAGGAACUCCCAAGGACAACUUUUGAGUAGCUGGCAAACACUAUGGUACAGAAUCUACAGUUGGAAAUCAUUUCUUUUUCCUUCAAAGAACACUUAGAAUCAACCUCCUAAGAUGCUAUCAUUGAUCAUAAAAGAAAGUCUUUGGAGCUGUGACAAUAGAUGGUUUAGUCUCUAACCUCAAGGAGAUUAAAUGGAAUAAUCUACAAAAAGUUAAUUGGCCCAGCUGUUUUGGCACUAAGCAACUUUGGAUGAAUUCUACUUAUGCUAAAAAAAAUUAAAAUUAAAAAAAAAGGAUAGUCAUAGAUCAUUGGAGUUGGAAGGAACCUCAGAAAGCCUGAAUUGAUGUCCCUUGGUUUAGAGAUGUGCCAGCUGAGUUCCAGAAUUUUUAAUUCAUCCAUCUAACCAUUCAUCCUUCCAUCUAUCCACUCAGCAAGGUGGAUAUCUGGAGGGAGUCCAAGGUGAGCGGCAAUGCCAGAUAAGGUAUGGGGAGUAACUUCGUUGUCGUAUGGGAAUAACUUUGUUGUCUUACGGAUAAAGAGUUCUUGUUAAGUGACCUGGCCAAGGUCAUCCUAAUCCAGUUGGCUGGCACCAGAGCCAGGACCAGGAAUCAGGUCUUCUGACAUCUGGCCUCAGGCUUUUCCCAAGGCACAGCUAUUCCUGGUAAAUAACUAGACAGUAGGUGAUAGAGCAGGUUCUCUAUUUCAGGACACUCUGUCCUGAUAGAAUCCUAUUUAGACGUUUCAGACGACACGUUGAAUUGAUGAACGUGCUGGCUACACGCAAGUAAUCCUUCACCACCAAAAAGCACCCUGCAAAAGCUAGAGGCAAAAACCAUUCCUGUCUGUCUUCCAGAAGCAUCGCCAAUCCCUCCUUAGCUCCUUCAUUCAUGACUUCCCAUUGCCAGCAGUUUACCAAAAUUCUCUCCAGGAUCCACCAGAGAGCAAAUCCAAAUUGCUUUCCUUAGCUGUCCUGGAUGUUACUGACUUUCCUGAAACAUCCUCCCCUCUCGGUUCCCAGAUGAUCCUCUCGCUACCGCCUCCUUGCUAACGAUCCCUUGUCAGUCCCUGAGCCAGGAACAUUUUCAGGACCUUGCACAUUAUAGCUUCUGGAUAAAUACAUUUGUUGAGUGUUUGGAUGGAUGCAUGGAUGGACGCACGGAUGAGUAGAUGGCUAGGUGAACGAAUGACAAAUUCCGGAGCCCAGUUUUCCCCUCUAUAAACCAAGGGAUAUUAAUUCAAGUUUCCUAAGGUUCUUCAUUCCUCAUCUUUUGCUUUAAUGUCUCUCCUUUGAAGACUCAUUUAUAGAACCUCUGCUAUCAUCUCUAUGUGUGACGUUUCCAAAUCCACAUCCUCACCUCGACAAGUGCCCCUUGUUCCACUAGGCUCUCCUUUUGUUGCUUCAAGUUCAACAGGUCUCAAAUCACGUCACCCUUGCCCGAUGCCCACUCUCCUCCGUGCCAAACCUCCAUCUCCCUUCUACAGCCCUAAUCCUCAGCCUGACCCAUUCUUAGUCUGUCAGGCUCAGAACACUAAGAUAAAAUUCAGUUUGCCUCUCCUAUUCAAUAAAUGAAUAACCUGCAGAAAGUCAUUAGCGAUUCCUUUCUCAGAUCAGUUUAAUUUUAUCCAUCCCCUAUCCAUGAAUCUAUCCUUCUUCCUUUGAGAAUAUUCCAGGUUCCUCUGGAUAACUAGGUCAUGUGUCAAAGAAGCCAGAUCUCUGUCUGCAAGCUCAGACUACUGUCACAUCUCAGCUCGAGACACUGGCAUACGCAUCCCUUGGGCACGCCCAGCCCGAGGGAUCCCGGCCUCUCAUAGAUGCCCCCCCUCCCCUUCUCUUCAUCCCUGAGUUUCAACCCUGCAAGCAAGGCCAAGAGCAUAUAUGCCUCCCCACCAGGAAGCCUUGCUGGAGAACAAAUGGCCCUCUCACUCCUCUGGGAGGGGAGCCUCUCCUGGGGCACGAUGAGCCAUAACCUGAAAUCAGCCCUUAUUUUAAAACAGGCAUCUGCGAGUCUGGGGGUCCCAGAGCUGAGCAGUGAUCCUUCUGGCACAGCCUCCCCGUCUCCUUCACCUCACUCCCCCAAAUGCCAGGGCCAAGCCCUCCUCUGUGAUGCUCUUCAAAGACAGGGAAGGAGGGGGUGCUAUGUGUUGGUCAAACAUCUCUAACCUCCCCAAGAGCAUGGAUGCCAAUGUCCAGGAGCAACCCACUUUGGGGCAGUGUUGGGAGACAUGGAACUGCCAGGAUCCAGGCAUGACCUCCCAGGUACCCAAGUAAAGGUAUAUUCAGGGAGUUCCACUGUGGCUCAGUGGUAAUGAAUCCAACUAGUAUCCAUGAGAACAGGGGUUCCAUUCCUGGCCUUGCUCAUGGGUUAAGGAUCUGGCUUUGCCAUGAGCUGUGGUGUAGGUCGCAGAUGUGGCUCAAUCCACAUUGCUAUGGCUGGGGUGUAGGCCAGCAGCUGCAGCUCCGAUUUGACCCCUGGCCUGGGUGCUUCCUUAUGCCACGAGUGUGGCCAAAAUAAGACAGAAAAAAAAAGAUACUAAAGAUAUUUUCACUCUGACCCCAGUGACACCUGCAUCCAGAUUCCUAGACACACAGAAAACUGGAGCUUCAAGGGCCCUCAGGGACCAACCAGUGUAAUCCCCCCUUGUCUAGACGGGAAGAUCAAGGCCCAGUUGCUUCCCAAGGUCACUCAGUGAGGCAGAGACAGAGCCGGAACUAGACGGCAGAGGCCAGUCCGAUGGGCAGGAGAGUGACAGCAAGCCACCCUCUCACCGAGAUAACCCCUAUGGCAGGGGUUCCCUGUCUCUCAAACUUUGAGUAAGAUAGGUCCUGCCAGCAGAGCCAGGUGGACAGUGUGAGCCCACAAUGGUGUAGAGAUGUGGGAUGGGGGUCUGAGCAGGGCAGGAAGCACGUCCAGUGAGAGGCAGCCUAUGCUCAGCCUGGGAGCCUGGCACAACAGGAGAGGCAGGGAACAACCCAGCAGGGACGUGAACUUCACGUUCCCCACCGGGGGCCUGAGCAUCCGGUGAGCCAGCUGAUUUUGCAGAAGGGCCUCCUUCCCCGCCUCUCUGCCUGCUCCCAAGGAUGGCCUGGCCAGGAGGCAGCCCUUCCACCCACAGUCCCCACACCUGCCAGGUACCCAGGCUCCCUGCCUGCUCACCUCACCCCCUCUGGUCCAGACGUGCUCAGGAUGCAGGCUCUCUGCCAAGGGCCCCAGAGGUCCAGACUCUCCUGGAUCCACGUCCAGGGAUGGAGGCUCCGAGGGUACUGAAAAAUAAAGAAAUGCCAAACAAGGUUACCAAAAAGUGAGGCGUGUUGAAAACAUUUCCUGUGAACAAAUUAACACUCUUUACACACACACACACACAGGCUCACACCAAACAUAAUGCAACAUAAUCGUGCUAUUCACAAAAUAAUUGCGGAAAUUAUGUAAACAGUCAGAGGCCCCCUUGGCAACGUGGCCCAGCAGUGAACACGGAUUUAAAGCUGCCUGAUGACAGUCUCUUCAGCAGAUCUCUGUGACUGCAUGAGAAACCUCCCUUGAAGGUAAGUGACAUCUCAGGUCGAGAGAGGGCCCUGUCACAGCCUCACUCCCUCACUGUUCCACCCUGAGGUGUGCAGCUCGAGAGAGCCCACCUGAAGGUGAACCGGAGCCCCUCAGGCACUGGGGCCUUCCUCACCCCCCAACAUCCACACCCAGCCCCAAGCCUGUACCUCAGGGAGAGAAGCCAGGCUGCCCCCGGGGACAGCACAGGAGCCUGGGCUGCCGGUGGGCAGCCAGGCCUGGCUGAAUGAGGCCUUUUCAUGACACACCACCCAGGAGGGGGAGGUGAUCCCUGCCCAGCCACACAGAGCCCUCUCAACUCAGGCAGCACAGCGCACCGUUCACACAGCUCAGGAAACAAAAUAAAUAUAUUCUCCCCUAAAGACCCCACAAUGGGGCUUUUUCAUGGCAGAGAAUGAGAAACAGCCCCUUCUCUCCACCCGGCCAAGGGGCUUCUGGUCCCUAGAGACUUUCCUGUCCCUUCCCAGAUUCAGGGUCUUCCUGGCCGCCUGCCUGCCCACUUUCUGGUUAAGACCUUAUAUGGACAAUGAGCCUACAGGCAGGUACUGGGCACAGUCUGCAAGCAGCAAGGAAGCGAAACAGGGUAGAGAGGAACCUAAUAUUUGCUGGUUUUGUCCUAUGCGUCAGGCAGGGAAGGUGAGGACACUUCUUCGUGGAUUAAAGUCAUCUGCAGAUUAGAUAGCACAGGGCUGGUGUUCCCUUGGCGGCUCAGGGGUUAACAAACCCCCCUAGGAUCUAUGAGAUGCCGGUUCCAUCCCUGGCCUCGCUCAGUGGGUUAAGGAUCCAGUGUUGCCAUGAGCUCUGGUGUAGGUCACAGAUGCAGCUGGGAUCUGGUGUUGCUGUGGCUGUGGUGUAGGCCAGCAGCUGCAGCUCUGAUUCGACUCCUAGCCUGGGAACUUCCAUAUGCCUCAGGUGCAGCCC